RNAcentral lists this long non-coding RNA (4722 nucleotides) under Takifugu rubripes (torafugu). Its description in RNAcentral is "lncRNA (ENSTRUG00000010819.3)". Lineage: Eukaryota; Metazoa; Chordata; Actinopteri; Tetraodontiformes; Tetraodontidae. The record is from RNAcentral.
AUGUUUCUACAAUUUUUAAUACUUAAAAAAAAGUGUAAGCUGUCCCGCCCAGGCCCUCCUGCAACCAUAGUAACCAUUGAUGAAGAGAGUCCCAAUGGUACCGUCUUGGUGGAAAACAUGCAGAUAAACGGCCGUGCGCAGGAUCCAGGUCGAACCAUUUCGCUGACUCUGCUGGACAACUACGACUAUUGGGUGAUUUUGGAACCGGCCCAGCAGCGGCUGUAUCUCAACAGCACAGGACGCGUUCUGGACAGAGACCCCCCAAACUACAUCAUGACCAUAGUGGUGCAAGUCCAGUGCACCAACGAGCUGGUUGGUACUGUUAUUUUCCACGAGGUGCGGAUCGUCGUGAGGGACAGGAACGACAACAUCCCCCGCUUUCAGCAGCCGCGUUACUAUGUUGCCGUCAAUGAGCUCACGCCAGUCGGAACAACGAUUUUCACUGGAUUCUCAGGGAAUAAUGGCGCCACCGAUAUCGACGAUGGACCUAAUGGACACAUAGAAUACAGCGUCCUUUACAACCCCAAUGACCCGGAGUCCAACAAGACAGUAAGCGUUGGAAACACGCUUUCAGGGCACAUUAUCCUGGCAGAGAGGCUAAACUACGAGGAGAGGACACGUUACCUGGUUGUUGUCCAAGCUAAUGACCGAGCACCUUACCCACCCAACAGGCGAACGGCUACAACCACCCUGACCGUGGACGUUCUGGAUGGAGACGACCUGGGCCCCAUGUUCCUGCCGUGUGUGUUAGUGAACAACACGCGUGACUGCAACCCGCUCUCCUACCGCGCUGCUAUCCCUGAAUUCACUGAACCGAGCAAAUUGAACCCACUGAACGUGACCCCCCCGAUUCGUGCCGUGGACAUGGACAGGAACAUCCAGCCUCCAUCCAACAGACCCGGAAUUCUGUACUACAUCCUGGUUGCCACAUUUGCAGAGUAUUUCUCCCUGAACAAAACCACAGCGGAGCUGCGCGUUCUGCAACCAAUCAACAGAGACUUAUAUCAGAGGUUCACCCUCAUCAUCAAGGCUGAGCAGGACAACGGACACCCCCUCCCGGCCUACGCCGACCUCAUCAUCGAGAUCCUGGAUGAGAACAACCAGGCGCCGUACUUCCAGCUCGCCACCUAUCAGGGAUACGUGAGUGAGUCUUCGCCGGUGGGUACAACCAUCUCAGGCAGCUCAAACCUGACGACGCCCCUGGAAAUCAUCGCACUGGACAAUGACAUCGAGGAGACAAAAGACCCGUUGGUGAAGAUUUCCCUCGACAACUACGCCACGAUAUUUGGUGUGACUCCGACUGGCAUAGUGCGCUACCUGAGACUGGUUACACCUGUGGACCGGGAGAAGCAGAUGGCUUACACGUUCACGAUGGUGGCAUCGGAUGGUGUCCAGCAGAGCACCCCAGUGACUGUCAACAUCCUGGUCAUCGACGCCAAUGACAACACGCCCACAUUCGCCAAGGCCUCCUACAAUGUUGAAGUCUUCACCGACAUGCAGCCGGGGGAAACCGUUCUCCAGUUAACUGCAGCGGAUGCUGAUGAAGGAUUGAACGGCCUGGUGACGUAUGAGAUAUUGGCCGGGGCCCAGGGACACUUCAUCAUUAAUAAUCGCACAGGUCGCCUCACCGUGGCGCCAGGCGUGGCUUUAACUGUGGGACAGUCUUAUGCACUGACUGUCAAGGCCUCAGACGGGGCUCCAGAAACACAGCGAAGGAUCGGGCUGUUACUUCUGGGGAAGCCUCUGGACAGAGAGAGCACAGAUCAGUACCGCCUGAUCGUCACAGCCUCCGAUGGGAACCCUGGAGGGACUUCCACCACCACGGUCGACAUUGUCGUCACAGAUGUCAACGACAACGAUCCCAAAUUUGACUUCGCCAUACCUGUUAACUUCACCGUCCGAGAAGAAGAGGCCGACCUUUUUGUGGGCCUUGUGAGGGCUACAGAUCCAGAUGCGGGGGCUAACGGCCAGGUGGGCUACCGGAUCAUAAAUCACCCCGACUUGUUUGUGAUCAGUGCCAAUGGCAGCAUCUACACGAAGGUGCCUCUGGACCGGGAGCUCCGGAGCCAGUAUGAUCUUGUUGUGGAGGCGUCGGACGGGGCUGUGGAUCCACGGCGGACCACCUUGACCCUCUCCAUCCAGGUCACAGAUAUUGAUGACAGCAGUCCGGUUUUCUCCCAGCAAAAUUACGUGGUGAAUGUUCCAGAAAACACGCCUGUGGGGACCGUCGUAUUGAAGCUAAGCGCAACAGACUCGGACCUCUUCUCCAAUGUCACCUACCGGAUCAGGACUGAGGCAGCCCGACAGCUGUUUUCUCUGAACCCUAUUACAGGGGAGCUGGCUGUGCUGCAGACGCUGGAUUUUGAGGACCUGGCAGCUUUGGGCAUUGGGACCUCUUAUGCUUUCCAGGUAGAGGCUAUAGACCAAGGAGGGAUCAUGCCCCCGGGGCAGGCAACUGUCACAGUCCGCAUCACGGUAGGAGACAUGAAUGACUUCUCACCCGUGUUUAGCCAAGACCUGUACAAAGGCAUGGUGGCACCCAAUGCAGAGAAAGGAACGGUGAUAACAACGGUGUUAGCGGAGGAUCGGGACCCUCCGGAUACCCCAGCCAGCUUUGUCCGCUACCGAGUUGACCUGGACAGGUCUCCCUACAGCGGCAGCAUCUUUGACGUGGAGGAGGAAACGGGAAGAAUCGUCACUAAGGUCAACCUCAACGAAGAACCCAGCGUCACCUUUAAGUUGUUUAUCAUCGCCUUUGACGACGGCGAACCGGUGAAGACCAACAGCACUCUGGUGGAGAUCACUGUCCUCCAGCCCUCUCGGAUCCCCAUCUUCACCCAGGAGGAGUACAGGUUUCCUCCAGUAAGCGAGCUGGCUCCAUUCGGCACCCCGGUGGGGACGGUUCUGGCUGCUGCUGUCAAUCAAAGCAUCUUCUACUCCAUCGUAGGAGGCAAUGAUUUAGGUCAUUUUCAGAUCAACAACAAGACAGGCGUCAUCUCCACAGCCAAACCUCUGGACUACGAAAAUGUGACAAGCUACGUCCUGCGGGUGCAGGCGGACUCCAUGGAGGUCGUCAUGUCCAACCUGCGCGUUCCCUCUAAAACUAACACAGCCAAGGUGUUCAUCGAAGUGCAGGAUGAGAAUGACCACCCACCCGUCUUCUCCAGGAAGCUCUACAUCGGCGGCGUGACAGAGGACACCAAGAUCUUCAGCUCCGUGCUCAAGAUAGCCACUGACAAGGACACCGGGAAUUACAGCGAGAUGGCGUACCGCCUGAUUAUUCCGCCCACCCAAGAGGGCCAGGACAGCUUCGUCAUCGAGACCUACACAGGCAUCAUCAAGUCGGCCAUCAUGUUUCGGAACAUGCGCAGGUCCUACUUCAAGUUUCAAGUCAUUGCCACCGACGACUACGGAGCAGGGCUCAGCAGCAGUGCUGAAGUGGUGGUUUCUGUGGUCAACGCCUUGGACAUGCAAGUUGUUGUGUCCACCGUGCCGCCCACUUUAGUGGAGGAGAAGAAGGACGAGCUCAUUAGUAUUUUGGAGCGCCACGUCCAGGACCAGAUUCCGGGUGCCAAGGUGAUAGUAGAGUCCAUCGGCCCCCGUCGUCAUGGCGAUGGCUUUGAGCUAGAGGACUACACUAAAUCCGACCUGAUGGUCUACGCCAUUGACCCCCUCACAAACAGGGCCAUCUCUCCCAAGGAGCUCUUCAAAUUCCUCGAUGGCAACGUCCUGGAAAUCAAUAAGGAGUUCCAGCCGUAUCUGGGGGAAGGCGGCCGCAUCCUGGAGAUCCGCUCCCCCGACAUCGUGGCCAGCGUGAAGAAGGCCGCCCAGGCCGUGGGCUACACGGAGGGGGCGCUCCUGGCCCUGGCCAUCAUCAUCAUCCUCUGCUGCAUCCCCGCCAUCCUCAUCGUCAUGGUCACCUACAAACAGCGACAGGCAGAGUGUGCCAAAACUGCCCGGAUUCAGAUGGCUUUACCACCAGGAGGGAAAGCACCUGCAGCCGCUGCCCCCACCGCAAACCUGUAUGAGGAGCUGGGCGACGGUAACCCACCAGAGGAUCCUCCGCCUCCCCCUCCAGAACGGCCACCUCCCUCCUCCCCAAAAACAUCCCCUCCUUAUAGUCUGCCAUCUACCCCUCCUUUACCCUCCCAUCUCCACAAACCCGAGUGCCCCCUUCAGCCGCCUCCUGGAUCCAGCAGCCAGGGGUCCCCCCCAACACCACCACCGCUCCCCCCACCACUCUCCCCAGCGAGCAAUCAGCUGUGCCAGCUUCUCCAGUUUGUUCCAGCAUCUCUGCCGCCGGUGUCCUCACUGCGUCCCGUCUCGCAGCGAAAACACCCCCCUCCUCCUGAGUCAUCUCAAACUGACUGUGGGAGGAAAAAGGAGCUCAAAGGGAUCCUGAAAAACAUCCAGAAUCUCGCUGACAUAGAGAGGUCCAUUGCCAACAUGUACAGCCAAGUAGACAAAAACUACAAGGUGCCCAAGCUUCAUCCUAAACCACAAGUGACUGAAGAAUCCGAAGACACCGAAAGUACUCAAAGCUCGGAUCCCUGGGAUGAGCAGAGCACCACCAAAACAACCAAAUCCACUUCCGCAGAUGACUCAACAAUUACGAACUGCGCUGAAAGCGAACCACGUCCCCUGAACGCGCCAUCAGAGAGCCAAUCGAAACCAAGCCCAGACUCUGCUGACCUGAGUGACUCCCAGUCCACCGUGUUCUGA